GACGAACGCUGGCGGCGUGCUUAACACAUGCAAGUCGAACGGUGAACCAGAGCUUGCUCUGGGGAUCAGUGGCGAACGGGUGAGUAACACGUGGGCAACCUGCCCCAGACGUCUGGGAUUAACCUCGGGGAAACCGAUGCCUAAUACCGGAUACGACCACUUCGGACAUCCGACGGUGGUGGAAAGUUUUUCGGUCUGGGAUGGGCCCGCGGCCUAUCAGCUAGUUGGUGGGGUAAUGGCCUACCAAGGCGACGACGGGUAGCCGGCCUGAGAGGCGACCGGCCACACUGGAACUCGAGACACGGUCCAGACUCCUACGGGAGGCAGCAGUGAGGAAUAUU
Molecule: ribosomal RNA, 341 nt
Filed under: uncultured bacterium
Lineage: Bacteria
Description: bacterial SSU rRNA
Rfam family: Bacterial small subunit ribosomal RNA
Source: RNAcentral